Molecule: ribosomal RNA, 256 nt
Filed under: uncultured bacterium
Lineage: Bacteria
Description: partial 16S ribosomal RNA
Rfam family: Bacterial small subunit ribosomal RNA
Source: RNAcentral
CGGAGGGUGCAAACGUUAUCCGGAUUUAUUGGGGUUUAAAGGGUCCGUAGGCGGAUCUGUAAGUCAGUGGUGAAAUCUCACAGCUUAACUGUGAAACUGCCAUUGAUACUGCAGGUCUUGAGUAAGGUAGAAGUAGCUGGAAUAAGUAGUGUAGCGGUGAAAUGCAUAGAUAUUACUUAGAACACCAAUUGCGAAGGCAGGUUACUAUGUCUUAACUGACGCUGAUGGACGAAAGCGUGGGGGAGCGAACAGGAUU